This 615-nucleotide ribosomal RNA is filed under the name uncultured bacterium. Its description in RNAcentral is "bacterial SSU rRNA". The stretch from base 1 to 534 matches the Rfam family "Bacterial small subunit ribosomal RNA", at positions 338 to 873 of the family's 1533-position model. The record is from RNAcentral.
CCUACGGGAGGCAGCAGUAAGGAAUAUUGGUCAAUGGGGGCAACCCUGAACCAGCCAUGCCGCGUGCAGGAAGACGGCCCUACGGGUUGUAAACUGCUUUUAUACGGGAAUAAACCUCUCUUCGUGAAGAGAGCUGAAUGUACUGUAAGAAUAAGGAUCGGCUAACUCCGUGCCAGCAGCCGCGGUAAUACGGAGGAUCCAAGCGUUAUCCGGAUUUAUUGGGUUUAAAGGGUGCGUAGGCGGCCUAUUAAGUCAGGGGUGAAAGACGGUGGCUCAACCAUCGCAGUGCCCUUGAUACUGAUGGGCUUGAUUACACUUGAGGUAGGCGGAAUGUGACAAGUAGCGGUGAAAUGCAUAGAUAUGUCACAGAACACCAAUUGCGAAGGCAGCUUACUAAGGUGUUAAUGACGCUGAGGCACGAAAGCGUGGGGAUCAAACAGGAUUAGAUACCCUGGUAGUCCACGCCCUAAACGAUGAAUACUCGAUGUUAGCGAUAUACAGUUAGCGUCAAAGCGAAAGCGUUAAGAUUCCACCUGGGGAGGUACGCCGCGAGGAGAACGACAAUAGAGUAGACGGCGUGAGACGUAGACCGACGGACGACGACGAGGGAGGAGG